Molecule: ribosomal RNA, 563 nt
Filed under: Paracrossochilus vittatus
Lineage: Eukaryota; Metazoa; Chordata; Actinopteri; Cypriniformes; Cyprinidae
Description: partial 16S ribosomal RNA
Rfam family: Bacterial large subunit ribosomal RNA
Source: RNAcentral
AAUUGGAGGUCCAGCCUGCCCAGUGACUACAAGUUCAACGGCCGCGGUAUUUUGACCGUGCAAAGGUAGCGCAAUCACUUGUCUUUUAAAUAGAGACCUGUAUGAAUGGCUAAACGAGGGCUUAACUGUCUCCCUUUUCAAGUCAGUGAAAUUGAUCUAUCCGUGCAGAAGCGGGUAUAAUAAUACAAGACGAGAAGACCCUUUGGAGCUUAAGGUACAAAAUUCAACCACGUCAAGCAAGUCAAUAAAAAAUAGUAAACCUUGUGGAACAUGAAACUUUACCUUCGGUUGGGGCGACCACGGAGGAAAACAAAGCCUCCAAGUGGAUUGGAAUAAAUUCCCUAAAACCAAGAGAAACAUCUCUAAGCCACAGAACAUCUGACCAAACAUGAUCCGGCCACAAAGCCGAUCAACGAACCAAGUUACCCAAGGGAUAACAGCGCAAUCCUCUCCCAGAGUCCAUAUCGACGAGGGGGUUUACGACCUCGAUGUUGGAUCAGGACAUCCUAAUGGUGCAGCCGCUAUUAAGGGUUCGUUUGUUCAACGAUUAAAGUCCUACGUGA